Molecule: non-coding RNA, 20 nt
Filed under: Rattus norvegicus (Norway rat)
Lineage: Eukaryota; Metazoa; Chordata; Mammalia; Rodentia; Muridae
Source: RNAcentral
CUUAACCGUUUGAAAAGUGC